UGGGGGCAUGAGCGUGGUGGACUAUACUACUUUGGUGAUCCGUCAACAUCUAGUGUUUUGUCCUAUAGUCUUCAAGCCUACGCUCACCGGUCUUAGAGUCCUCCGUUUUAAGUCCGUUAUGUUUUAAAUUCAUCUAUUUUCUAUUAAAACUUUAGAUUCGUGGCAUACUCGUUUAGGGCAUACAAAUUUCUAGUAUUUUGUUGAUUUUCCCCCUAUGAAUAAAGCAUGCAAGAAAGUUCAUUUUAAAUGUCUUUUGUGAAUUUUCUAAACAUAUUCGCACAUCUUAUAUUCCUCGCUGCAUCAUGAACCUAUUGC
Molecule: long non-coding RNA, 315 nt
Filed under: Actinidia chinensis (golden kiwifruit)
Lineage: Eukaryota; Viridiplantae; Streptophyta; Magnoliopsida; Ericales; Actinidiaceae
Description: long non-coding RNA (ACHI_LNC000897)
Source: RNAcentral